Molecule: ribosomal RNA, 480 nt
Filed under: uncultured bacterium
Lineage: Bacteria
Description: partial 16S ribosomal RNA
Rfam family: Bacterial small subunit ribosomal RNA
Source: RNAcentral
GACGAACGCCGGCGGCGUGCUUAACACAUGCAAGUCGAGCGAGAGAAAUUCCUUCGGGAAGGACUCUAGCGUCGGACGGGUGAGUAACACGUGGGUAACUUGCCUCAUAGAGGGGAAUAGCCUUUCGAAAGGAAGAUUAAUACCGCAUAAGAUUGUAGUAUCGCAUGAUGCAGCAAUUAAAGGAGUAAUCCGCUAUGAGAUGGACCCGCGUCGCAUUAGCUAGUUUGUGAGGUAACGGCUCACCAAGGCGACGAUGCGUAGCCGACCUGAGAGGGUGAUCGGCCACAUUGGGACUGAGACACGGCCCAGACUCCUACGGGAGGCAGCAGUGGGGAAUAUUGCACAAUGGGGGAAACCCUGAUGCAGCAACGCCGCGUGAGUGAUGACGGUCUUCGAAUUGUAAAACUCUGUCUUCAGGGACGAUAAUGACGGUACCUGAGGAGGAAGCCACGGCUAACUACGUGCCAGCAGCCGCGGUAA